CCUACGGGGGGCAGCAGUGGGGAAUAUUGCACAAUGGGGGAAACCCUGAAGCAGCGACGCCGCGUGAGUGAAGAAGGAAUUCGGUAUGUAAAGCUCUAUUAGCAGGGAAGAAAAUGACGGUACCUGAGUAAGAAGCGACGGCUAACGACGUGCCAGCAGCCGCGGUAAUACGUAGGGGGGAAGCGUUAUCCGGAUUUACUUGGUGUAAAGGGAGCGUAGACGGCAGUGCAAGUCUGGAGUGAAAGGCGGGGGCUCAACCCCCGGACUGCUCUUGAAACUGUACGGCUGGAGUGCAGGAGAGGUAAGUGGAAUUCCUGGUGUAGCGGUGAAAUGCGUAGAUAUUAGGAAGAACACCAGUGGCGAAGGCGGCUUACUGGACUGUAACUGACGUUGAGGCUCGAAAGCGUGGGGAGCAAACAGGAUUAGAUACCCGAGUAGUC
Molecule: ribosomal RNA, 440 nt
Filed under: uncultured bacterium
Lineage: Bacteria
Description: partial 16S ribosomal RNA
Rfam family: Bacterial small subunit ribosomal RNA
Source: RNAcentral